RNAcentral lists this ribosomal RNA (253 nucleotides) under uncultured bacterium. RNAcentral's name for it is "partial 16S ribosomal RNA". It matches the Rfam family "Bacterial small subunit ribosomal RNA", at positions 524 to 776 of the family's 1533-position model. The record is from RNAcentral.
UACGAGUGGUGCUAGCGUUAUUCGGAUUUAUUGGGCGUAAAGGGUGCGUAGACGGUGCGACAAGUCUGUUGUUAAAUUCCUCGGCUCAACUGAGGACCUGCAAUGGAAACUGUCGUGCUAGAGGAUGGAAGAGAGAAGUGGAAUUCUUGGAGUAGCGGUAAAAUGCGUAGAUCUCAAGAGGAACACCGAUGGCGAAGGCAGCUUCUUGGUCCACUCCUGACGUUGAGGCACGAAAGCGUGGGGAGCAAACAGG